This 497-nucleotide ribosomal RNA is filed under the name uncultured bacterium. RNAcentral describes it as "partial 16S ribosomal RNA". It matches the Rfam family "Bacterial small subunit ribosomal RNA", at positions 28 to 507 of the family's 1533-position model. The record is from RNAcentral.
GAUGAACGCUGGCGGCGUGCCUAAUACAUGCAAGUCGAGCGAACGGACGAGAAGCUUGCUUCUCUGAUGUUAGCGGCGGACGGGUGAGUAACACGUGGAUAACCUACCUAUAAGACUGGGAUAACUUCGGGAAGCCGUAGCUAAUACCGGAUAAUAUUUUGAACCGCAUGGUUCAAAAGUGAAAGACGGUCUUGCUGUCACUUAUAGAUGGAUCCGCGCUGCAUUAGCUAGUUGGUAAGGUAACGGCUUACCAAGGCAACGAUGCAUAGCCGACCUGAGAGGGUGAUCGGCCACACUGGAACUGAGCCACGGUCCAGACUCCUACGGGAGGCAGCAGUAGGGAAUCUUCCGCAAUGGGCGAAAGCCUGACGGAGCAACGCCGCGUGAGUGAUGAAGGUCUUCGGAUCGUAAAACUCUGUUAUUAGGGAAGAACAUAUGUGUAAGUAACUGUGCACAUCUUGACGGUACCUAAUCAGAAAGCCACGGCUAACUACGUG